CGGCGAUCCUUGGCGGCGGAGCAGCAGCGGUCUCAGCCCCUCUCAGAUAUGAAGUUCAUUGCUGCAUACCUUCUUGCCGUACUGGGUGGGAAUACUAGCCCAUCAAGUGAUCAAAUCAAGAACAUCCUGGGUUCAGUUGGUGCUGAAGCUGAUGAUGCGACUAUUGAGUUCCUUUUGUCUGAGGUGAGAGGCAAAGACAUAACCGAACUGAUUG
RNAcentral lists this unclassified non-coding RNA (214 nucleotides) under Hevea brasiliensis (rubber tree). The record is from RNAcentral. Lineage: Eukaryota; Viridiplantae; Streptophyta; Magnoliopsida; Malpighiales; Euphorbiaceae.